CCCUUAGAUGUCCGGGGCUGCACGCGCGCUACACUGAAGGAAUCAGCGUGCUAAAACCAUUGUCGAAAGGCAUUGGUAAACCCAUUAAAAUCCUACGUGAUUGGGAUCGGGAAUUGCAAUUAUUUCCCUUGAACGAGGAAUUCCCAGUAAGUGUGGGUCAUAAGCUCGCGUUGAUUGCGUCCCUGCCCUUUGUACACACCGCCCGUCGCUGCCCGGGACUGAGCCGUUUCGAGAAAAGCGGGGACUGCUGCUGUCGGGGCUUUCGGGCCUUGGCUUCGGUGGAAACCGCUUUAAUCGCAGUGGCUUGAACCGGGCAAAANUCGUAACA
This 328-nucleotide ribosomal RNA is filed under the name uncultured eukaryote. RNAcentral describes it as "partial 18S ribosomal RNA". It matches the Rfam family "Eukaryotic small subunit ribosomal RNA", at positions 1470 to 1796 of the family's 1831-position model. The record is from RNAcentral.